RNAcentral lists this transfer RNA (76 nucleotides) under Hydrogenoanaerobacterium saccharovorans. RNAcentral describes it as "tRNA-Val". It matches the Rfam family "tRNA". Rfam says of the family: Transfer RNA (tRNA) molecules are approximately 80 nucleotides in length. Their secondary structure includes four short double-helical elements and three loops (D, anti-codon, and T loops). Lineage: Bacteria; Bacillati; Bacillota; Clostridia; Eubacteriales; Oscillospiraceae. RNAcentral also lists the same sequence under 7 other names. The record is from RNAcentral.
GGGGGUAUAGCUCAGCUGGGAGAGCAUCUGCCUUACAAGCAGAGGGUCUCGGGUUCGAUCCCUGAUGCCCCCACCA